AGAGACAACAAUACAUCACAGACAACAGCACAAAGGACAAGAAGGUAGAGACAACAAUACAUCACAGACAACAGCACAAAGGACAAGAAGGUAGAGACAACAAUACAUCACAGACAACAGCACAAAGGACAAGAAGGUAGAGACAACAAUACAUCACAGACAACAGCACAAAGGACAAGAAGGUAGAGACAACAAUACAUCACAGACAACAGCACAAAGGACAAGAAGGUAGACAACAAUACAUCACAGACAACAGCACAAAGGACAAGAAGGUAGAGACAACAAUACAUCACAGACAACAGCACAAAGGACAAGAAGGUAGAGACAACAAUACAUCACAGACAACAGCACAAAGGACAAGAAGGAAGAGACAACAAUACAUCACAGACAACAGCACAAAGGACAAGAAGGUAGAGACAACAAUACAUCACAGACAACAGCACAAAGGACAAGAAGGUAGAGACAACAAUACAUCACAGACAACAGCACAAAGGACAAGAAGGUAGAGACAACAAUACAUCACAGACAACAGCACAAAGGACAAGAAGGUAGAGACAACAAUACAUCACAGACAACAGCACAAAGGACAAGAAGGUAGAGACAACAAUACAUCACAGACAACAGCACAAAGGACAAGAAGGUAGAGACAACAAUACAUCACAGACAACAGCACAAAGGACAAGAAGGUAGAGACAACAAUACAUCACAGACAACAGCACAAAGGACAAGAAGGUAGAGACAACAAUACAUCACAGACAACAGCACAAAGGACAAGAAGGUAGAGACAACAAUACAUCACAGACAACAGCACAAAGGACAAGAAGGUAGAGACAACAAUACAUCACAGACAACAGCACAAAGGACAAGAAGGUAGAGACAACAAUACAUCACAGACAACAGCACAAAGGGCAAGAAGGUAGAGACAACAAUACAUCACAGACAACAGCACAAAGGACAAGAAGGUAGACAACAAUACAUCACAGACAACAGCACAAAGGACAAGAAGGUAGAGACAACAAUACAUCACAGACAGCAGCACAAAGGACAAGAAGGU
Long non-coding RNA from Oncorhynchus keta (chum salmon), 1054 nucleotides. RefSeq lists it as uncharacterized. The record is from RefSeq and is a predicted model, not a curated record. Lineage: Eukaryota; Metazoa; Chordata; Actinopteri; Salmoniformes; Salmonidae. The transcript is spliced from 5 exons.